This 417-nucleotide long non-coding RNA is filed under the name Prunus persica (peach). RNAcentral describes it as "long non-coding RNA (PPER_LNC003078)". The record is from RNAcentral. Lineage: Eukaryota; Viridiplantae; Streptophyta; Magnoliopsida; Rosales; Rosaceae.
GAAAGUGAUAUCCCCUCACAUCCAUUCGGUGAACCAAACGGGGAUAGUUUUGUUGAUGUUUAACUCUCUUUGACUCUCUUGUAGUCUAUGGCAUAUGUGAUACUUUUUCCUUCUUUAGGAUUUUGUCCCUCUGAAUUUUCAUCAAAGAGAUUUUAAUGAGGCCACUUGCAACAUAUUAUUGCAUCUUGUAACGAUUUGAUUAUCUAAUGAAGUCUCCUCUUCUGAAAAAAAAAUUACCCUCAUACUCACAUCAAAACUUUGACUCUCUCUAUUUCAUCAUAAACAAAAAAGAAAAAGAAAAAAAGAAAAAAAGAAAACUAAAUCUUUAGUAACAAAAUAAUAAAUUAAAUUGUUACAUUCCAUAAACCCAUCACUAAUCAUUGUACGGAAGUAUGAAUAACUCUUAUAGAAAAUAAA